RNAcentral lists this ribosomal RNA (536 nucleotides) under uncultured bacterium. Its description in RNAcentral is "bacterial SSU rRNA". It matches the Rfam family "Bacterial small subunit ribosomal RNA", at positions 336 to 865 of the family's 1533-position model. The record is from RNAcentral.
CUCCUACGGGAGGCUGCAGUGGGGAAUUUUGGACAAUGGGCGCAAGCCUGAUCCAGCAAUGCCGCGUGUGUGAAGAAGGCCUUCGGGUUGUAAAGCACUUUUGUCCGGAAAGUAAACGUCGUGGUUAAUACCCGUGGCGGAUGACGGUACCGGAAGAAUAAGCACCGGCUAACUACGUGCCAGCAGCCGCGGUAAUACGUAGGGUGCAAGCGUUAAUCGGAAUUACUGGGCGUAAAGCGUGCGCAGGCGGUCCGCUAAGACAGAUGUGAAAUCCCCGGGCUUAACCUGGGAACUGCAUUUGUGACUGGCGGGCUAGAGUAUGGCAGAGGGGGGUAGAAUUCCACGUGUAGCAGUGAAAUGCGUAGAGAUGUGGAGGAAUACCGAUGGCGAAGGCAGCCCCCUGGGCCAAUACUGACGCUCAUGCACGAAAGCGUGGGGAGCAAACAGGAUUAGAUACCCUGGUAGUCCACGCCCUAAACGAUGUCAACUAGUUGUCGGGUCUUCAUUGACUUGGUAACGUAGCUAACGCGUGAAGU